Long non-coding RNA from Anopheles arabiensis, 382 nucleotides. RefSeq lists it as uncharacterized. NCBI's taxonomy places the organism in Eukaryota, Metazoa, Arthropoda, Insecta, Diptera, Culicidae. The record is from RefSeq and is a predicted model, not a curated record. The transcript is spliced from 2 exons.
CACGCCGUGAGCAGCAGACCAAUAAAGUGCGCUUCUUAAAAUACGGGCAGAAUGUAUACUGUCAAUUGAUGAUUGUUUCGCGCUCCAGAACAAUCUCAACCUAUUCAGCAAUUGAUGUGAGGCAAACCAACUAAGCCUCUAUGUGGAUAAAUGCAGCGCGCUUACAUUCAGCAGGAAACGAACCCCUUUAAACUUUUGUUACUCAUUGCACAGAUACAAUUUGUCUCGCGUGUCAUCAGUCAGGGAUCUUGGUGUGAUUCUUGAUUCAUCACUAUCCUUUUGCGAGCAUUACCACUCUACUAUUACCAAGGCCAAUAGGAUGAUAGGAUUUGUAAUCAAGUAAACUCUUGAGAUAAAAGAUCUAAUAUGUCUGAAAGCAUUA